GACGAACGCUGGCGGCGUGCCUAAUACAUGCAAGUCGAACGAGAGCGACCGGUGCUUGCACUGGUCAAUCUAGUGGCGAACGGGUGAGUAACACGUGGGUAACCUGCCCAUCAGAGGGGGAUAACAUUCGGAAACGGAUGCUAAAACCGCAUAGGUCUUCGAACCGCAUGGUUUGAAGAGGAAAAGAGGCGCAAGCUUCUGCUGAUGGAUGGACCCGCGGUGCAUUAGCUAGUUGGUGAGGUAACGGCUCACCAAGGCCGUGAUGCAUAGCCGACCUGGGGGGGUGAUCGGCCACAUUGAGACUGAGACACGGCCCAAACUCCUACGGGAGGCAGCAGUAGGGAAUCUUACGCAAUGGACGCAAGUCUGACGGAGCAACGCCGCGUGAGUGAAGAAGGUUUUCGGAUCGUAAAACUAUGUUGUUAGCGAGGAAUAAGUGCUAGAGUAACUGUUAGCGCCUUGACGGUAUCUAACCAGAAAGCCACGGCUAACUACGUG
This 498-nucleotide ribosomal RNA is filed under the name uncultured bacterium. RNAcentral describes it as "partial 16S ribosomal RNA". It matches the Rfam family "Bacterial small subunit ribosomal RNA", at positions 28 to 507 of the family's 1533-position model. The record is from RNAcentral.